CGUAAUGCACUUAAAUUUCUCAAGUAUUGCUUCCAUAUAAUCUGUAGCAGGAAGCCUUGCUUUUAAAAGGGGGCGGGGAAGAGACAGAGACACAGACACAGACAGACUGUUCUUUUCACGCUGUAUUACAUUUGUAGAAAUAUGUUAACAUCCCUCACUACGAAGGAACCUGGUCCCCAAAGAAAGAGAACAAGGAAGAUUGGGGUUGGGUAGGUGUGAGGAGGGGAACCGUGAAUUCCAGACACUGAAUCUGCCCAAAGUUGCUAUUCGUUGUCUUUCAUAUGUGUGUGUGUGUGUGGAAGGGGGGGGCACGGGGGGCAUAACCCUCAGUUGGCCCAGCAUGGGUGUGCGUGGUGUUUUUGUUUUCAUUUUGCAAAGACAUGCGUUUAUGCAUUUAUGUUGCGCUUCGCAAAGACGCGGGACUCGGCUCCAGAGCCGCCACCCCCGCUCCACCGCCGAAACCGAGCUGACUUCUGCGCAUAGGAAUGCUCUGGCAGGCUCAAAUUCUAUGCCCGAUUACAUGGAAGAAAGACCCAUUCCAAGGCAGCCUGACUUCUGAGUAAAAAUGCGCAGGACUGUGAGACUACAAUUCUAUGAAAAGAAAGGAUGGCUGAGUCACAAAUAGCUUCGAGGAGCCUUAGCGGAAGAACUUAUUUCCAGUCUGUUUAGGUCUCCAGAGGACUUAUUUUCCGAGGGUUUUUUUGUUUUGUUUUUCGCCAACGGAGCAGAACCGCAGUGCAUUCUAAGGUUAUUUCAGGUUUGUUAAUGUUCGCAAUAAUACCGGUGAGUAAAGAUCUUCGUUUGGAGAUGCCCACAAGGGAAGACAUUUUCUAAGAAACGAACAAGUUUAAAUCCUGCAGAUUCGAGGUCGGGGAACACAUUACGAUUCCUCUUAGCUGACACACAAACCUGGGUGAUGUACAUUAGUAAUGAACAGCAAACUUACACGUUUCUCCUCAUGGGGAGUAAAUUGAGGGGGGGCGUAUUCUUGGAUUCAGUCAAGAUCAAAGGUUGUUGGCGUCAUUAACGACAGCCUCUAGCGCAGGAGGUUUUGUAAAACGCGGGUCAUUUCAGUCACUUGAAAGGCUUUUCAUUUGAAGCUUUCCUUUUAAACAAUGCAAGAGCACGAUCCGGCCAAAAAGUUAAGCAUUAAGAGAGAGAGAGAGAGAGAGAUUUCGAGAGGAGAAUUAAGCCUGGAGCUUAAAUCGCCCUCGAGGUAAUUCCCUGAACUCACAGGUGUCUAACUUGGGCAGGCGAGUCCUCCAGGUUUUCAGCUUCUGAAAUGCCCCUUUAUAUUCUCAGAUGUGGUAGCUGUUGCUUUUCAAUCGCUUACAAUCUAUCUUGCUUUCCCCCCACCACUUCUCUUUAUUUCUUUGGUCAUGUUUACGGGAGAAAAAGCGGGUUGGGAAAGCAGACCCCGCUGGAAGAAAGGGCCUAAGCGAAGGAGCGGAAAGAGAAAUCUAAACCAAAGCAAACGGACCGUAGGAAAAUUCCAUUUAAUGGCGCCCAGGAGCGGGAGAAAUGUCUCCCUCUCAAUCGCGCGUGCACCAAUUAGGAAUUCUCUUUGAUGUAGGACUGCUCCAUUCCGACGUCGGCGUACACUUGGGCCUUGGGCGAUCGCGGCGCCCCUCCACGGGAAGGUCGUCCUUCACUUGAGCUUGGGAAGGAUCAAUGCCUUUCCCUUGGUCGCUUGGUUUUCCAUUUGACCUCAGCCACGGGCAGGAGGAGAAGGUGAAGGACUCCCGCGGUGUAGAGUCCCGUUGGCGGCGGCGGCGGCGGCGGCGGCGGCGGAAGUUAAUUCUUCG
Molecule: long non-coding RNA, 1805 nt
Organism: Podarcis muralis (Common wall lizard)
Lineage: Eukaryota; Metazoa; Chordata; Lepidosauria; Squamata; Lacertidae
Source: RefSeq, a predicted model, not a curated record